This 1081-nucleotide transfer RNA is filed under the name Ensifer fredii. RNAcentral describes it as "Sinorhizobium fredii miscellaneous RNA". The stretch from base 213 to 286 matches the Rfam family "tRNA". Lineage: Bacteria; Pseudomonadati; Pseudomonadota; Alphaproteobacteria; Hyphomicrobiales; Rhizobiaceae. The record is from RNAcentral.
CUAAGGAAGCUGUGGAAUUGGAAGACGAUCGGUUCGCCGAUAUGACCUUUCCCGUGCUUUUUAGAACAAGAUCGGAUCAGUCAGAUCACGAUCGAAACGUAAUACGCCGCAGAGGUGCUUGCACCCUGACGGUAUGGCGAGACCCGCCGUCCACGUUUCUCUUUCUCACAAAGACAAGGACCACGCUGUUUUGGCUGUAGUUCACCCCGGAUGGGCCCGUAGCUCAGGUGGUUAGAGCGCACGCCUGAUAAGCGUGAGGUCGGCAGUUCGAGUCUGCCCGGGCCCACCAUUCGCCUACGGCUCAUGGUGAGCCCAGGCAGUCUCUUUAAGUUUGUUCUUCCUCGUGAUCUCUGAUCACUGCGGGGAGAACGGGCCGGGCCCGGCGGAGCUUUCCGUUUGGGUAUCGAAACCUGAUGGGGCUGUAGCUCAGCUGGGAGAGCACCUGCUUUGCAAGCAGGGGGUCAGCGGUUCGAUCCCGCUCAGCUCCACCAAGGUUUUGGUGUUGAUGGCUGGGGGAUCUGUUCCUUGUCUUUGGGGAAAAUAAAGUUUGCAUCGUCUCUGCUGAGACUGAUGCCUGUUCUGCUAAAAUUGUGAAGAGAAGAUAUGUCUGGAAGCUUCCAGGUGUUGACGGCGAUUGUCGAAAGACGGUCGGUGUCGGCGUCCGAGCCCGGUCCUUUUGAAGCCAUCGAUGGUCUAGCCGACCGGAGAUGGAAGAGGGGCUGGAGGUAGGAGGGAAGUCUUGUCGUUCAAGGCAUGGAUGUUGUUGGGGUGUCCUUCGGGAUGCCCUUCUGGCGUUCAUGGCCGAUUGGUGUUGCCUGACCGCGCAUCACCGGACAGAUCUCGAGAAGCUGGUCUUAAGAUUUGGCGCAAGCGAACCGCUCGGCGUGGUUCCAAUAAAGCGACCAAAUCGAACACGUCGAUGGCAUCUGAUUGGCUCGGUUGUAAAAGGUAACCGGGUUUUUGGACUGGCGGUGCGGCAAACGAAAGUUACCCGCAUGGCCAGAUUUGGCACCCCUUCGAGCGAGAGCGAGAAGGAAAGGUUUGCCAAAUCCCAAUAAGGAUGAGCAUUGGCAAUGAGAAC